GCGUCCCUUGCACCAGCCCUGCUCAUCCUCGUCCUCCAUCUUGGUCAGCUCAUCCCCUGCAAGACAAAGAGGGAGCCGUCUCCAUGAGAGCACCUGGCUGAUGACUUGUGCACGGUGCCAUGUGUCAACCCUUCCUGAGACCCUGAGAAGGAGCCCCUGGCGCUGUUCUGGAAUCUCCCUGUGGCUCUAAUAAUUAGAUGCAGUUUUCCCCCUGGUUUAGCAUUUCCCUGAUGCUUUGGAUUUUGUAUGGCAGCAAUGCUGGUCAACAUGCCUGCGGAGCUAAUACCUGGGGCUUCCAGUGCUCCCCGGACUGCCUGGGCUCAAAUCCCACAGCCAUCACUCACUGGCUGGGAGACCUGGACCAACUGCGUCCACUCCCUGGGCCUGUGGCCCUCAUCUGUGGACUGGGGGUACUGUGAAGAUUAAGUGUUAAGACACUAAAGAACCCUGGGAGGGUGGGACAUGCGUAAGCACUGGCUCAGCCUCCCACUGUCGUGCCGCUUCUGCCAGACCAGUGCGCCUGCAGAUCUAACCCAGAGGCAUCAGGAGCAGAUGCAGGGGCCACAGGGCAGCAGCCACGAUGAACCACCAUCUCUUUCCACCGCUUCGUGCCUCGGGCCCCUGGCGUUUCUUUUGUCCUGCCUUCAUUGGUUGCUGUGCUCUCACAGGCCUGGAUCCAGGCUACCGAGGCUAGGAUGAGGCCUGUAACCCCACACUACCAUGUGGCAAACAGCCAGAACACCGCAAGAGACGUAAGUCAAGCCACACUGGCUGGGAGCUAAUUUUGCAUUGUUAAAAAGCAGGAUAACACAGAAAAUAGAACGGACAGGAAAGCUUUCACAUUGUGCAAAUGUGAACUGGUGAUUAGAAGGUUCAUUUCAAUCAGUUUGCUUUUGACAAUUUACUUGGAUCUGGAAGAAACAUUUUAAAUCUACAAAAUUACUGUCAAACCCAAUAGGCAGGAUUGAAAAGGAGUUAGAAAUUAUAAACAAAUAAACCAACAAAGUCGGGGGUAACAACCCCAACCAAAGAUAUCAGAAACUGGAUGAAGAUGGCUUAAAGGCACAUUAAAAAAAAAUCCAAAAAAA
Molecule: long non-coding RNA, 1088 nt
Filed under: Homo sapiens (human)
Lineage: Eukaryota; Metazoa; Chordata; Mammalia; Primates; Hominidae
Description: HSALNT0406275
Source: RNAcentral